Molecule: transfer RNA, 85 nt
Filed under: Felis catus (domestic cat)
Lineage: Eukaryota; Metazoa; Chordata; Mammalia; Carnivora; Felidae
Rfam family: tRNA
About the family: Transfer RNA (tRNA) molecules are approximately 80 nucleotides in length. Their secondary structure includes four short double-helical elements and three loops (D, anti-codon, and T loops).
Source: Rfam by way of RNAcentral
GCCUGGGUGGCUCAGUCGGUUGAGUGUCCGACUUCGGCUCAGGUCGUGAUCUCGCGGUUCGUGGGUUCAAGCCCCGCGUCGGGCU